UGUUAUGGCGGCUGUGCGCGGGGCAUCUACGGGUGCGCCGGGUUCCUAUGUCUCGGUCUGUCAACCCGCGUACAGCUGCCACCCAA
RNAcentral lists this non-coding RNA (86 nucleotides) under Pseudomonas sp. M47T1. The record is from RNAcentral. Lineage: Bacteria; Pseudomonadati; Pseudomonadota; Gammaproteobacteria; Pseudomonadales; Pseudomonadaceae.